Molecule: long non-coding RNA, 816 nt
Filed under: Homo sapiens (human)
Lineage: Eukaryota; Metazoa; Chordata; Mammalia; Primates; Hominidae
Description: non-protein coding lnc-OSBP-1:1
Source: RNAcentral
CUUUCGGGUUCUAGGCAGCCGUGGGCGCUGCGACCCUUCUCUCACUGUCAGAGGGGCGGGAGCUCUCGGCCUGCGCCGCCUCCGCUGCCUGCUUGGUCGCGGGCUUGCCGGGAAUGGUGACAGCCCGGGCCCCCUCUUGGCCAAAGAAGUCCUCGAAAGCGUUCGGCGCACGGGCUUUGUCCAGCUUUUUAAACCGUAACAAGGACCGGGGCCGGGCGCGGUGGCUCACGCCUGUAAUCCCAGCAUUUUGGGAAGUCGAGGCGGACGGAUUACUUGAGGUCAUGAGUUCGAGACCAGCCUGGCCAACACGAUGGAGUCUUGCUCCCAUGCUGGAGUGCAGUGGCGUGAUCUCGGCUGACUGUAACCUCCGCCUCCCGGGUUCAAGUGAUUCUCCUGCCUCAGCCUCCGGAGUAGCUGGGAUUACAGCAAAGAUAUCCAGACGCUGUAUGCAGGAAGAACUGAAUUUCAGAGGACACCGUUUGAUCUUCAACACCUGGCAGUUUACAAAACAGAGACGGGGUGUCGCCAUGUUGCCCAGGCUGGUCUCGAACUCUGGAGCUCAAGCGAUCUGCCUGCCUCGGCCUUUCAAAGUGCUGAGACUACAGCCUGAAGAGGAGAGGGGGAAUCCUGGUGAGAAGCAUUUGGAAUUCAAGCUCAGAGAAGAAGACACGGAGUCCCAGCUGAGAACUCAAACUGGUAGAAGGAAGAUUAUUUUUCCUUCUCUAUAGGUGCUUGGAGGUAACGAGGGGAAAGGAGUUGAAAGGAAGGUGACAUUUCAGGUAUUGAUGGGACAGCACGUGCGAGGCCUAGAGGACU